This 552-nucleotide ribosomal RNA is filed under the name Triticum aestivum (bread wheat). Its description in RNAcentral is "partial small subunit ribosomal RNA". Lineage: Eukaryota; Viridiplantae; Streptophyta; Magnoliopsida; Poales; Poaceae. The record is from RNAcentral.
AUGAAAAAUAUCAGUUUGUAUGUAGCACCACACGAAUAUAGAGUUGAGGCUGCACCAAUUGGUUGCGGUCCCUGUAGUGCGUUAUUUUGUCGCCCGGACGUGUUCGAAUCUGGCAACGGUUGUACUUGCGGGUAUGAGCCUUGGACGUCUGGUUGCGGCAGUGGCUGCGGGUUUGGGCUUGGCAGUGGUUGCGCCGGAGGCUGGGCGUUUGGGCCUGGCAGUGGUUGUGGCAGAGGCUGUGGUAAUGGCGGUGGUUGCAGGUUCGGGUUCGCCAGCGGUUCUGGCAAAGGCUGUGGUAAUGGCUAUGGGUUUGGGCCUGGCAGUGGUUGCGGUAAAGGCUGCGGUAGUGGCUGCUGGUUUGGGUCUGGCUUAGGCAAAGGUUGUGGGUUUGGGUCAGGUUGCGGGUUCGGAUUUGGCAGCGGUAUCGGCGGUGGCCCCGGCACCUGCUGCAAUUUCCGUUGUUGCGCCUGCACGCAUCCUGCAUCCUCCGCUGCCACGGCAACAACAACGAGGAGGAAGACGGUGCAUAUGAGACUAGACGAAGAGUGGUAG